Molecule: ribosomal RNA, 253 nt
Filed under: uncultured bacterium
Lineage: Bacteria
Description: partial 16S ribosomal RNA
Rfam family: Bacterial small subunit ribosomal RNA
Source: RNAcentral
UACGUAGGUGGCGAGCGUUGUCCGGAAUUACUGGGCGUAAAGCGUGCGCAGACGGUCACGUAAGUCGGGUGUGAAAGCCCCGGGCUCAACCUGGGAAUUGCAUUCGAGACUGCGUGGCUAGGGUGCGGAAGAGGGAAGCGGAAUUUCCGGUGUAGCGGUGAAAUGCGUAGAUAUCGGAAGGAACACCAGUGGCGAAAGCGGCUUCCUGGUCCAGCACCGACGUUCAGGCACGAAAGCGUGGGGAGCAAACAGG